This is a non-coding RNA of Coturnix japonica (Japanese quail), 631 nucleotides long. Lineage: Eukaryota; Metazoa; Chordata; Aves; Galliformes; Phasianidae. The record is from RefSeq and is a predicted model, not a curated record.
CCGGGCAGCGAACAACAAGGGCAGCGCGAGCGGCGAUUGGCGGAGAGCUCCGACGGACGGCCCGCCCACCAACGGGAUGAUCGGCCCGCGGCUUUCCCGUCGCUCAGAGGCUUCCCGCCAAUAAAAAGCGGCAACGGGAAGACGGUGUCCCACCCCCAGCUGCCAUUGGGUGAAAGAGGGCAAAGGCGGCCGCCAAUAGGCGGAAGGGGCUGCCGGUCAGCACGCCGCGGGCCUGCGCUCCGGCGGGGGCGAGGGGCGGCGAGUACGUGAGGAGCCGCACAGCAGCGCGGGGUGGGGGGGCGCUGCGGUCGCCCUGCGCCAAUGGGGCGGAGGACGGGGAGGGACCGCCCCCCCCCCCCGCGGCCUGUGCUGCCCCAGGAGGUGCUGCCCCCAGCGCUCUGCCGGCGAGGCAUCCACCAGUGCAGUUCAGACGGGCUCCAACCAGCAGCUAAACUGCUCUUCUGUCCCAUCUGCUGCAGGUGCUACAGGCUGGGGUGAGUCCCUGCAGUGUGCACCUGCACAGCACCGAGCACCUCCUGCAACCACCUGCACACAGCUCUUCUCCAACCGGCAGCAGGAUGAAGCAUUGGGCAGAUUUUAAUUCAUGGUCAAUUAAACCAUGCAGACCACA